GCAGUUCACCACAAGAUGGCGCUAAGACCUCAAAUCAAAUCCAAAAAGAAAAACCCUCAGCUCUGACCACGAAUGUUCCUCCUCUAAGUGAAAGGGACACCGGAUAUCCGGACCAUGGGUUGUAACGGGAAGCCAGACCGCCUGAGCUACGGUAAAUGGACCCGAACAUGAUCCGUGUCUUGAAGUGCACCAAGAUUUCAACAUAUUUUGUUCACUUCUGCUAUUUUGCUGUAGAUGACAGUGAAAACUGACGUGCAGAAAUGACUUGCAAGUGUCACUGCCCAUAUCUUGUGUAACACCAGGCCAUCCUUGCAAAAUGACAAGAGUUCAUUUCAAUACACUCCAUGUGUGAAAGUUUAAUUGAUGCGUUACGCAGAGGGAUCAAAUAUUUCCUUACUUGAUACAGAACACUGUAAUGAUGUAUAAUUAACAAAUCAAUUUAUACAUUAAUAUGUAAAUUAAGAACUUUACUUGCCACUGGGUUUUUACACAAUUUUUGGAACCUGAUGGGAAAAAAGUUGAACGUUUAAGUGCCGUUUGGGACAAAAUUGUGAUUAAGGUGGUUUAGUUGCCUCUCACGUUAAAAUAAUUUAAAAAAUAUAAAGAUUUCAUCACUGUUUCAAAAAAUAAAUGAGUUGCUUUACCACUG
This is a long non-coding RNA of Morone saxatilis (striped sea-bass), 649 nucleotides long. RefSeq lists it as uncharacterized. The record is from RefSeq and is a predicted model, not a curated record. NCBI's taxonomy places the organism in Eukaryota, Metazoa, Chordata, Actinopteri, Moronidae. The transcript has 2 exons.